Marmota monax (woodchuck) is the source of this 1129-nucleotide long non-coding RNA. RefSeq lists it as uncharacterized. Lineage: Eukaryota; Metazoa; Chordata; Mammalia; Rodentia; Sciuridae. The record is from RefSeq and is a predicted model, not a curated record. The transcript has 3 exons.
UCUCAGAGCUGGUCGUCAGGGAUCAUGAGACAAAGCUCAUUUCGAUGUCUGGCAUUCUAAGUGUCAGAACAAUUAAAGUAAAUGAAAGAAAACCUAAGGGGAUCUAUAACUCAGGGACAUUUAGUAGUUGGAAACAGAAAAUAACCAGAAGAAGAAGGGGGCAUCACAGUAAUGGGGGAUGGAAACAACCCAAUCCUCUGAAGGAAAGUACAAUUUCCUCUGCUGCCUCUGUAAGUGCCUGGGAAAUGGCACUGACUUCAGAAAUCCUGGAGAACCACUCCCACUACUACCCAGAAUGGGUCUGGCUGGUUCUGAUUUCAUUUGGCUCAAUGCAAGGCACCCGUCCCUGUCUAAAACUUUGAGUUGGCUGUUAACUUCGAUCUCUCUCCUUGACUCUGCUCUGACCCUUUCCUUGGUCCAAUAUUUUACUUAGUAUACUUCUACAAUAUCUACUGGCCCGGGUCACCAGGAAAAUUCAUCUGGCCCCUGUUCACAGCUACUCCCCUGAGCUCAAGUGAAGAACUCAUCUUGGUCUUACAACACCCACAUGCCUCGGAACCCCUCAGUCCCAAGUAAACAGGAAUAGUUAGGGGUCUCCCUGCUCCCAGCCCACAUUGGUCAUACAGCAAAUUGAUGGCAGAAGCAGGACCCUAGGUAUUUUAUUACUUUAUAUGUUAUUAUUUAACUUACUCAUAUUAAUGUACUCAUAUAGAAUUAUGUGAUAUAUUAAUAUAAUAAUUAUGUAUUAUGUGUUAUAUGACUGUAUAUAUAUAUUUAGAAUAAAUAUAUGUACAUUAAUAUACAUAUAUAAAAUAUAUAGAAUAUGUAUUAUAUAGAAUACAACUUUCAGAAGAUAACAUUGUGAGCAAGUAUCACAGAACUCACUUGUCUACAUGGAUAAAACAAUUAUAGCAAUAUUCACAGUGAAAUUUCUCAUUUUCAUCCCCUGUGAUCCUGCAGGCUUCAAAAAUACCUGUGUUGCUUUAUGCCAGUGUGUGCCCAAGUAAUAUAGAUUCAUUUCUAAUACUGCUCCAAAGUAAUGAGGUUAAGAAGUAUAUGUGCUAUUUAAAACCAAACAAUGAAUUCUAGACAUGAAAGAAAUGAUUCUAGGAUUACCUGAUUUCAUCAA